GACGAACGCUGGCGGCGUGCUUAACACAUGCAGGUCGAACGGAAAGGCCCUUCGGGGUACUCGAGUGGCGAACGGGUGAGUAACACGUGGGUGAUCUGCCCCGCACUUUGGGAUAAGCCUGGGAAACUGGGUCUAAUACCGAAUAGGACCACGCGCUUCAUGGUGUGUGGUGGAAAGCUUUUGCGGUGUGGGAUGGGCCCGCGGCCUAUCAGCUUGUUGGUGGGGUAAUGGCCUACCAAGGCGACGACGGGUAGCCGGCCUGAGAGGGUGACCGGCCACACUGGGACUGAGAUACGGCCCAGACUCCUACGGGAGGCAGCAGUGGGGAAUAUUGCACAAUGGGCGCAAGCCUGAUGCAGCGACGCCGCGUGAGGGAUGACGGCCUUCGGGUUGUAAACCUCUUUCAAUAGGGACGAAGCGCAAGUGACGGUACCUAUAGAAGAAGCACCGGCCAACUACGUGCCAGCAGCCGCGGUAAUACGUACGGUGCGAGCGUUGUCCGGAAUUACUGGGCGUAAAGAGCUCGUAGGUGGUUUGUCGCGUUGUUCGUGAAAACUCACAGCUUAACUGUGGGCGUGCGGGCGAUACGGGCAGACUAGAGUACUGCAGGGGAGACUGGAAUUCCUGGUGUAGCGGUGGAAUGCGCAGAUAUCAGGAGGAACACCGGUGGCGAAGGCGGGUCUCUGGGCAGUAACUGACGCUGAGGAGCGAAAGCGUGGGGAGCGAACAGGAUUAGAUACCCUGGUAGUCCACGCCGUAAACGGUGGGUACUAGGUGUGGGUUCCUUCCUUGGGAUCCGUGCCGUAGCUAACGCAUUAAGUACCCCGCCUGGGGAGUACGGCCGCAAGGCUAAAACUCAAAGGAAUUGACGGGGGCCCGCACAAGCGGCGGAGCAUGUGGAUUAAUUCGAUGCAACGCGAAGAACCUUACCUGGGUUUGACAUGCACAGGACGCCGGCAGAGAUGUCGGUUCCCUUGUGGCCUGUGUGCAGGUGGUGCAUGGCUGUCGUCAGCUCGUGUCGUGAGAUGUUGGGUUAAGUCCCGCAACGAGCGCAACCCUUGUCCUAUGUUGCCAGCGGGUUAUGCCGGGGACUCGUAGGAGACUGCCGGGGUCAACUCGGAGGAAGGUGGGGAUGACGUCAAGUCAUCAUGCCCCUUAUGUCCAGGGCUCCACACAUGCUACAAUGGCCGGUACAAAGGGCUGCGAUGCCGUGAGGUGGAGCGAAUCCUUUCAAAGCCGGUCUCAGUUCGGAUCGGGGUCUGCAACUCGACCCCGUGAAGUCGGAGUCGCUAGUAAUCGCAGAUCAGCAACGCUGCGGUGAAUACGUUCCCGGGCCU
Molecule: ribosomal RNA, 1337 nt
Filed under: uncultured bacterium
Lineage: Bacteria
Description: bacterial SSU rRNA
Rfam family: Bacterial small subunit ribosomal RNA
Source: RNAcentral